Molecule: ribosomal RNA, 420 nt
Filed under: uncultured bacterium
Lineage: Bacteria
Description: bacterial SSU rRNA
Rfam family: Bacterial small subunit ribosomal RNA
Source: RNAcentral
GAGGAAUAUUGGUCAAUGGGCGGAAGCCUGAACCAGCCAUCCCGCGUGAAGGAAGACAGCCUUACGGGUUGUAAACUUCUUUUCUGUUUGAAGAAUAAGCCCGUUGAGACGGGUGAUGCCGGUAGGACAGGAAUAAGCAUCGGCUAACUCCGUGCCAGCAGCCGCGGUAAUACGGAGGAUGCAAGCGUUAUCCGGAUUUAUUGGGUUUAAAGGGUGCGCAGGUGGUUUAAUAAGUCAGUGGUGAAAGUCUGUCGCUUAACGGUAGGAUUGCCAUUGAUACUGUUAGACUUGAAUAUGGGUGAGGUAAGUGGAAUGUGUAGUGUAGCGGUGAAAUGCAUAGAUAUUACACAGAACACCGAUUGCGAAGGCAGCUUACUAAUCCAUUAUUGACGCUGAGGCACGAAAGCGUGGGGAUCAAAC